GAUGAACGCUGGCGGCGUGCCUAAUACAUGCAAGUCGAGCGAACAGACGAGGAGCUUGCUCCUCUGACGUUAGCGGCGGGCGGGUGAGUAACACGUGUAUACCCUACCUAUAAGACUGGGAUAAUUACGGGAAACCGGAGCUAAUACCGGAUAAUAUAUUGAACCGCAGGGUUGAAUAGAGAAAGACGGUUUUGCUGUCUCUUCUAGAGGGAUCCGGGCCGCAUGGGCUGGUUGGUAGGGUAACGGCUUACCAAGGCAACUAUGCGUAGCCGACGUGAGAGAGUGAUCGGCGGCCCUGGAACUGAGACGGGGUCCAGACGCCUGCGGGAGGCAGCAGAAGGGAAUGGGAGGCAGUGGGCGGAAGCAUGACGGAGCGACGGCGCGUGAGAGGUGGAGGUCUUGGGAUCGUAAUGACCUGCUAUUAGGGAAAAACAACUGUGUCAGUAACUAUGGACGGAGUGACGGUACCGGAUAAGAAAGCCCCGGCUAACUACGUG
This 497-nucleotide ribosomal RNA is filed under the name uncultured bacterium. RNAcentral's name for it is "partial 16S ribosomal RNA". It matches the Rfam family "Bacterial small subunit ribosomal RNA", at positions 28 to 507 of the family's 1533-position model. The record is from RNAcentral.